CCUACGGGAGGCAGCAGUGAGGAAUAUUGGUCAAUGGUCGGGAGACUGAACCAGCCAAGCCGCGUGAGGGAUGAAGGUACAGAGUAUCGUAAACCUCUUUUGUCAGGGAACAAAGGCGGGGACGUGUCCCCGGAUGAGUGUACCUGAAGAAAAAGCAUCGGCUAACUCCGUGCCAGCAGCCUCGGUAAUACGGAGGAUGCGAGCGUGAUCCGGAUUUAUGGGGUUAAAAGGGUGCGCGGGCGGUCUGUUAAGUCAGCGGUCAAAGCCCGGGGCUCAACCCCGGCCCGCCGUUGAAACUGGCAGUCUCGAGUUGGAGAGAAGUAUGCGGAAUGCGCGGUGUAGCGGUGAAAUGCAUAGAUAUCGCGCAGAACUCCGAUUGCGAAGGCAGCAUGCCGGCUCCACACUGACGCUGAGGCACGAAAGCGUGGGUAUCGAACAGGAUUAGAUACCCGAGUAGUC
RNAcentral lists this ribosomal RNA (459 nucleotides) under uncultured bacterium. Its description in RNAcentral is "partial 16S ribosomal RNA". It matches the Rfam family "Bacterial small subunit ribosomal RNA", at positions 338 to 795 of the family's 1533-position model. The record is from RNAcentral.